Molecule: long non-coding RNA, 2743 nt
Organism: Pyrus x bretschneideri (Chinese white pear)
Lineage: Eukaryota; Viridiplantae; Streptophyta; Magnoliopsida; Rosales; Rosaceae
Exons: 5
Source: RefSeq, a predicted model, not a curated record
GUGGUACUGUGGAUGACCAGUGGGCGGACAAUUUUGCCCCUCAAUUGUUAGGCAUAUUCAGCCUUUUCACUUCCGUUGUACAGUUUAUUUACUAAUUUACCCCUUCUGUACACGUGUUGGUCAUCGUGGGAAUGUAAAAGCUCGGCCUUUCCAUUUGUUUUGAGAACGAAGCUUUUCCGUUUGUUUCCCGAUGAACCUGUCCGAUUCACUCUCUUAGAACUGCGAACCACAACAUCCUCCUCCAUUCGAGGCAUCUCCUCCCUUCUCCUCCGUUGGACAACUUCUCCCCGUCCAGGCUCCUCCCUCAUUCCUUCUCCUCCGCUCCUUCUCCUGGUCUGAAAAGAAAAGAGCUGCAGAUUAUAGUGGCUCAGUUAUCUCCUCCCCGAUGUCCGUCGUGCCAACAUCACCUUUGAAGAACAGGUUCUGGAUCUUGAGCUUCACCCUCGCUGGGGUAUCAUAAUAGCGCCGUCUUAAGGAUGAUUUGGAGUCAGAAAAAAAAAAUCCCUAAUUUUCUCUGCUUCUUGAGAUCAACGUGGCUUCCUCGAGGAUUUUCACUGAGAUUUCUUGCUUCAAAUCGCAAUGCAUUGAUGGAUACUCUAUAUAAAAGGAGCAAUUUUGGAUGAUGAGAACAAAGGAGUUGCCACAAUGCUUGAAAAGGUUAAUUAUUUUACAAAAUAAGUUCCAAUUUCUUGGUAGUUUGGCUUAACAGUAAAUUCCAAGUGAAUUUUCCGUUUGGUAGAUUUUUUUAAUGGAAUUUAAGAGAAUUGUGAACUUGGUAGAGUUAUGUUGUUUAUAGAAUGCAGAUCAGCUUUCAUGCGUAUCAGUCCUCCAAUACCUCUAUUUGGUUACAAAGCAUUCUUCCCUGGUUGAUUAUAGUAGGCAUAAUUCAAAUAGCUUAUGCAGCGUCAACAUCUCCCAGUCACCGUAAUUUAACAGAAGAAUUUGUAAUUACAGAAUUGCUGUAAAAAGUAAGCCAUCAAUUUACCACAAGUUAAUUUAGUUUUUCGUUAUAUUGGAUUUGAAUUUGGUAUUUUGUUUAGGUUUUAUUAUAUUAAUUAUCAUAAGCUUCUUUGAGAUUACAAGAUGUUCUUGGACACAUUAAUGCAACACAAGAGUUAGAACAAAAAGUGGCUGAUUAGAAGGCUUGAAAACAAGUGUAAAUCUACAUUCAAAAUAUUAGGUAAAAGCAUGUUGACAAAUCAUCUCCAAAUGUUGUAAAUACAAUACUUCUUACUAACUUUUUUUUGUUUAUGUCUAUUGAUUCAAGAGAAGGCAAAAAAAAAAAAAAAAAAAAAAGAGUUACACUAUGGAUUGAUGUUGCAAAGAACUUCAGUUCCAUUAUGUUGCAACAAUUAGUCCCGCCAACAUUUGUGGUUAUCGCAAGCCUCAAGGGUUGUAUUGGACAUAAGCUAUUCUUAAAGUAGCUGUAGCACCUUAGAAUUUUAGAGGUGAUCCGAUUGGAGGCCGUUUGCAGAUAACGAUUCUCAAUUUCUUGAGUACACCAGUAAAGGUUCUUUAUCUUCAUUUCUCAUUGACAUUUGUUUUUCCUUGAUAACGUAGUUGACAGUUCUUUUAGCCUGUUAUUAUAUAAUUACUGUUAACAAUGACUUUUAGAGAGAGAGAGAGAGAGAGAGAGAGAGAGGGAUGGAUAUACCAAAUGAUGCAUGUUCAAGGAGUACUCGAACAACAUUAUUGGAAUUGUAUAACAAUACUUGCCAUAAUUUUGGUAAGGAAUCAGUUGACAGUGUGGGGUUCGUAGAUUUGGAUUUGGCAUUUUCUGAUAUUAACCAAGGAGUGGAAAUUUUGAUUGGUUUGAUUGGUAAUUUGGGUAUGUUGUUUGCAUUCAACAUUCUAUAAUUAUGAGAGAAACCGAGAUCAUUGUAUUAUAUAUUUUAUCAGCAUUCAACAUUUAUAAUUGUGAACUAUCUUUGUGGGUCUAUCAAUUUAUUUUUAUGGUUUUCAAUUUCCUAAAUGAAGUUUGACAUAUAUGGAAUUUGACAAUUUAUCUUCAUUUGCAUUCUUGCAUUUGAAUUUGCAACUCAGUUUGUGCUAAAUGCUAUUUAAUAAUUUAGAGAAAACGUUUCAAUUGUUUCAAUUGAUUGUCAUGCAUCGCAGUUGGAAACUUGAUGAUUUAGAAUCAGCUUAUCAAUCUUCCAUACAAUUUCUAAUCCCGCAGCAACGCGCGGGCAGCAAUUUCUAGUUGUUCCUAUAUGCUGGACACGACCACCAUUUCGUACAAUUAAAGUGAAUUGUGAUGGAGCUUGGUUCAAGGCGUCGGCCCGUGGUGGAUAUGGUUAGGUAGCAAGAGAUUUUUCGGGUAUCUUUCAGGGGGCGGGCGGCUGUGGAGAUUUGCCAUAUAAAUUUAGUUUGAUGGCAGAAGUGGAUGGGAUACGAAUGGCGGUGUUGGCCUGUAUUGAUAAUGGGUUUGCGGUUGUUCAGGUAGAGUCAGACUCCAAUUGUCUUUGUAGAUAUCCUUAAUGGGAAUAUGCAACACAAUGUUGUGACUGAAGGCAUCCUCUUUGAUAUUCAGUGUUUGAAACAUCAAUUAAUGUCAGUAGAAUUUAUCUUUGCUCCUCGAAUUUGUAAAACAACGCAUCUAGUGGCUUUGUUUGUUGGGCGGGAAGAGGGCAUUCUUUCAUUGUUGGGAUGGUCUUAAGCUACAAUGGUUGUUUAAAUAUUGGCUUCUGAUGUAAACAUUUCCAUUCGAAUCUAAUAAAAUUCUUACUUUUGGAAGAAAAAAAAA